AUUUAUAUAGUUUAAAAAAAACAUUGCAUUUUCAUUGUAAAAUUAGAAAUUUCUUAUAAUUA
This 62-nucleotide transfer RNA is filed under the name Curculionoidea sp. 1 KM-2017. RNAcentral describes it as "tRNA-Glu". Lineage: Eukaryota; Metazoa; Arthropoda; Insecta; Coleoptera. The record is from RNAcentral.